CUCCAGGGGUUGGGAUCAUCUCCAGGGUUGGGAUCAUCUCCAGGGUCUGGGAUCAUCUCCAUGGUUGGGAUCAUCUCCAUGGUUGGGAUCAUCUCCAGGCUCUGGGAUCAUCUCCAGGGUUGGGAUCAUCUCCAUGGUUGGGAUCAUCUCCAGGGUCUGGGAUCAUCUCCAGGCUCUGGGAUCAUCUCCAGGGUUUGGGAUCAUCUCCAGGGUUUGGGAUCAUCUCCAUGGUUGGGAUCAUCUCCAGGCUCUGGGAUCAUCUCCAGGCUCUGGGAUCAUCUCCAUGGUUGGGAUCAUCUCCAGACUUGGGAUCAUCUCCAGGGUCUGGGAUCAUCUCCAGGCUCUGGGAUCAUCUCCAGGGCUUGGGAUCAUCUCCAGGCUCUGGGAUCAUCUCCAUGGUUUGGGAUCAUCUCCAGGCUCUGGGAUCAUCUCCAGGGGUUGGGACCAUCUCCAUGGGUUGGGAUCAUCUCCAGGGCUUGGGAUCAUGUCCAGGGUUGGGAUCAUCUCCAGACUCUGGGAUCAUCUCCAGGUUUGGGAUCAUCUCCAGGUUUGGGAUCAUCUCCAGGCUCUGGGAUCAUCUCCAUGAUUGGGAUCAUCUCCAGGGUUGGGAUCAUCUCCAGGCUCUGGGAUCAUCUCCAUGGGUUGGGAUCAUCUCCAGGCUCUGGGACCAUCUCCACGUCC
This 681-nucleotide long non-coding RNA is filed under the name Zonotrichia albicollis (white-throated sparrow). Its description in RNAcentral is "lncRNA (ENSZALG00000005392.1)". The record is from RNAcentral. Lineage: Eukaryota; Metazoa; Chordata; Aves; Passeriformes; Passerellidae.